RNAcentral lists this ribosomal RNA (253 nucleotides) under uncultured prokaryote. RNAcentral describes it as "partial 16S ribosomal RNA". It matches the Rfam family "Bacterial small subunit ribosomal RNA", at positions 524 to 776 of the family's 1533-position model. The record is from RNAcentral.
UACGAAGGGGGCUAGCGUUGUUCGGAAUUACUGGGCGUAAAGCGCGCGCAGGCGGCCUUUCAAGUCAGGGGUGAAAGCCCGGAGCUCAACUCCGGAAUUGCCUUUGAAACUGUCAGGCUCAAGUACGGGAGAGGUGAGUGGAAUUCCCAGUGUAGAGGUGGAAUUCGUAGAUAUUCGGCGGAACACCAGUGGCGAAGGCGACUCACUGGCCCGAUACUGACGCUGAGGCGCGAAAGCGUGGGGAGCAAACAGG